This 233-nucleotide ribosomal RNA is filed under the name uncultured bacterium. RNAcentral's name for it is "partial 16S ribosomal RNA". It matches the Rfam family "Bacterial small subunit ribosomal RNA", at positions 99 to 334 of the family's 1533-position model. The record is from RNAcentral.
CGGACGGGUGAGUAAUGCGUAGGAAUCUACCAUAUAGUGGGGGGAUAACCUGGGGAAACUUAGGCUAAUACCGCAUGUGCCUUACGAGGUAAAGCAGGGGAUCUUCGGACCUUGUGCUAUUUGAUGAGCCUACGUCGGAUUAGCUUGUUGGUAGGGUAAAGGCCUACCAAGGCGACGAUCCGUAGCUGGUCUGAGAGGAUGAUCAGCCACACUGGGACUGAGACACGGCCCAG